GAUGGUUCAUUCAAAUUUCUGCCCUAUCAACUUUCGAUGGUAGAGUAGUGGUCUACCAUGGUUUCAACGGGUAACGGGGAAUUAGGGUUCUAUUCCGGAGAGGGAGCCUGAGAAACGGCUACCACAUCCAAGGAAGGCAGCAGGCGCGCAAAAAUUACCCAAUCCCGACACGGGGAGGUAGUGACAAUAAAUACUGAUACAGGGCUCUUUUGGGUCUUGUAAUUGGAAUGAGUACAAUUUAAAUCCCUUUAACGAGGAACAAUUGGAGGGCAAGUCUGGUGCCAGCAGCCGCGGUAAUUCCAGCUCCAAUAGCGUAUAUUAAAGUUGUUGCAGUUAAAAAGCUCGUAGUUGAACCUUGGGCCUGGCUGGCCGGUCCGCCUCACCGCGUGCACUGGUCCGGCCGGGUCUUUCCUUCUGGGGAGCCUCAUGCCCUUCACUGGGUGUGUUGGGGAACCAGGACUUUUACUUUGAAAAAAUUAGAGUGUUCAAAGCAGGCCUAUGCUCGAAUACAUUAGCAUGGAAUAAUAGAA
RNAcentral lists this ribosomal RNA (530 nucleotides) under uncultured fungus. RNAcentral's name for it is "SSU rRNA". It matches the Rfam family "Eukaryotic small subunit ribosomal RNA", at positions 289 to 822 of the family's 1831-position model. Lineage: Eukaryota; Fungi. The record is from RNAcentral.